UUUUUGAAAAUAAUUUAAAGUCUAAUUUGCCCACUGAUNAAAUUAUUAAAGGGCUGCAGUAUUUUGACUGUACAAAGGUAGCAUAAUCAUUAGUCUCUUAAUUGGUGACUUGUAUGAAAGAUUGGAUGAGAUAUAUACUGUCUCUAUUUAAUUUAUAAAAUUUAAUUUUUUAGUAAAAAAGCUAAAAUUAUUUUAAAAGACGAGAAGACCCUAUAGAGUUUUAUAAUUUAUUUAAUUAUUAUUAAUAUAUAAAUUUUAAAAUUAAAAUUAAGUAAAUUAUUUUGUUGGGGUGAUAGAAAAAUUAAAUUAACUUUUUUUUUAUUGUAUACUUUAAUUUAUGGAUAAAUGAUCCAUUAAUAGUGAUUAAAAGAAAAAAUUACCUUAGGGAUAACAGCGUAAUUUUUUUUUUUAGUUCAAAUAGGAAAAAAAGUUUGCGACCUCGAUGUUGGAUUAAGAUAAAAUUUAAAUGCAAAAG
This 475-nucleotide ribosomal RNA is filed under the name Papilio peranthus kransi. Its description in RNAcentral is "partial 16S ribosomal RNA". Lineage: Eukaryota; Metazoa; Arthropoda; Insecta; Lepidoptera; Papilionidae. The record is from RNAcentral.